RNAcentral lists this ribosomal RNA (419 nucleotides) under uncultured bacterium. RNAcentral's name for it is "bacterial SSU rRNA". It matches the Rfam family "Bacterial small subunit ribosomal RNA", at positions 355 to 773 of the family's 1533-position model. The record is from RNAcentral.
UAAGGAAUAUUGCUCAAUGGGAGAAAUCCUGAAGCAGCAACGCCGCGUGGAGGAUGAAGGGUCUAUGACUUGUAAACUCCUGUAAAGAAGGAAAAAAUUCCCAUUUGAUGGGAGAUGAUGGUACUUCUGGAGUAAGCCCCGGCUAACUACGUGCCAGCAGCCGCGGUAAUACGUAGGGGGCAAGCGUUGUCCGGAUUUACUGGGUGUAAAGGGUGCUCAGGCGGAUUUGUAAGUCAGAGGUGAAAUCUUACAGCUUAACUGUGUAACUGCCUUUGAUACUGCAAGCCUAGAGUAUGGAAGAGAGUGAUGGAAUAUCUGGUGUAGCAGUGAAAUGCGUAGAUAUCAGAUAGAACACCAAUGGCGAAGGCAGUCACUUGGUCCAUUACUGACGCUAAAGCACGAAAGCGUGGGUAGCAAAC